This 704-nucleotide ribosomal RNA is filed under the name Mortierella sp. 'formicicola'. RNAcentral's name for it is "eukaryotic LSU rRNA". It matches the Rfam family "Eukaryotic large subunit ribosomal RNA", at positions 92 to 649 of the family's 3401-position model. Lineage: Eukaryota; Fungi; Mortierellomycota; Mortierellomycetes; Mortierellales; Mortierellaceae. The record is from RNAcentral.
AGUGAAGCGGGAUGAAGCUCAAAUUUAAAAUCUGGCUGGUUUACUAGUCCGAAUUGUAGUUUAAAGAAGCGUUUUCGGUCGCAACCCGGGUAUAAAUCCUUUGGAAUAGGGUAUCAUAGAGGGUGAGAAUCCCGUCUUUGACUCGGUGGAUGCGACUAUGUGAUACGUUUUCAAAGAGUCGAGUUGUUUGGGAAUGCAGCUCAAAAUGGGUGGUAAAUUUCAUCUAAAGCUAAAUAUUGGCGAGAGACCGAUAGCGAACAAGUACCGUGAGGGAAAGAUGAAAAGAACUUUGAAAAGAGAGUUAAACAGUGCGUGAAAUUGUUGAAAGGGAAACGUUUGACACCAGUCAUGUGGGUGGAAAAUCAGUCUUUUGGGAGGGGGAGUGGCAGGAAAUCAGACCGCAAGGCUGACUUUUGUCUCAUUCUCUUUCUAAGGGAUGCACUUUUUCAUUUGCAGGUCAACAUCAGUUUUCUCUGCUGGACAAAACUCUGAGAGAAUGUAGCAGCUUUGGCUGUGUUAUAGCUCUGGAGCGAUACAGUGGAGGGGACUGAGGUAUUUCGCAGUGUGUGCUCUCGGGCAAGGUUGACUGGGUGCUAUGUGAUGGCUCGGUGUACAAUACAUGUAUUUUGCGCUGUGUCUGUUGCAUACUCGCUUGAAUCAGCUCUUUCACGCUUAGGAUGUUGACUUAAUGGUUUUAAACGACC